GACGAACGCUGGCGGCGUGCUUAACACAUGCAAGUCGAACGAAGAGCGACGGAAGCUUGCUUCUAUCAAUCUUAGUGGCGAACGGGUGAGUAACGCGUAAUCAACCUGCCCUUCAGAGGGGGACAACAGUUGGAAACGACUGCUAAUACCGCAUACGAUCUAAUCUCGGCAUCGAGGAUAGAUGAAAGGUGGCCUCUACAUGUAAGCUAUCACUGAAGGAGGGGAUUGCGUCUGAUUAGCUAGUUGGAGGGGUAACGGCCCACCAAGGCGAUGAUCAGUAGCCGGUCUGAGAGGAUGAACGGCCACAUUGGGACUGAGACACGGCCCAGACUCCUACGGGAGGCAGCAGUGGGGAAUCUUCCGCAAUGGACGAAAGUCUGACGGAGCAACGCCGCGUGAGUGAUGACGGCCUUCGGGUUGUAAAGCUCUGUUAAUCGGGACGAAAGGC
RNAcentral lists this ribosomal RNA (448 nucleotides) under Veillonella parvula. RNAcentral's name for it is "bacterial SSU rRNA". It matches the Rfam family "Bacterial small subunit ribosomal RNA", at positions 28 to 453 of the family's 1533-position model. The record is from RNAcentral. Lineage: Bacteria; Bacillati; Bacillota; Negativicutes; Veillonellales; Veillonellaceae.